UAUGGUUAAUGUUACACAGAGGGCAUUCCAAACACGCCUUCACCUGUGACUUGACUUAACGCUCAGCUCUGCAGCGUGGAGGAGCUUGUUUGACUUUGUUCAGGGAGCGGUGCUUUUGUCUCACGAGCUGGAUUUGGGGUUCAUUGCUGCUCUUUGUGCAGACGGCAGAUUAUUUCCCCCUGCACCCGUUUGGCGAGUGCAGCACAGUGAGUCUGCAGCACAUUCCAGCUGUCUAACAACGUCAUGCUUGUAUCUGCAGGGUCCUUCAUCUGGGAGACGCAAUGAGUUUACUGGAUUCCUGAAGCAGAGAGGACGGCCGUGAUUAUAAUUAUUCUCUCCUCGUAUUUGAAGGCACAUCCUCUGGUUUUCAUUCAAGAUGAAAAGAGCCGGGCCAACAAGUAGCGACUGUCUCUGCAACGCACGGUGUGUCGUAUUCCUCUGUCUCACAGAGAUCUAUUGUCCACAAAUUAUUAAAAAGACAUGAAUUAACCGACGGAAAGAGUUGGAAAUUAGCACAUCAGUUUCAUGAUCUGUAUUGGAAUGUUAAGGAGAAUCAGGUAAGAUAACACAAAGAAUACGCACAUUCAAACUGUAAUUCAUUUUAAAGUAUCUCACAACAUCCCGCUGCUUGAAAUUCUUUUCCACUCAGCAUGUUAGAAGCUGCAGAGUUUAAGUACCCGUCAAUAAAUAACACCACUUAGACAAUAUGCAUUUUGGGACACCAAGGGGCGCCAAAGUCAGAACAAAUCCUGCAAACGUUGUCUUCAGAAAUACGUGAACAUAAAGAAUGUCUAGGCAUUGUUCACAGCACACUCAUAGAGUGACCUCUGACCCGGAGGAGCGUUUUAGCGUCUUUUCUUAUUGAUUCACGUUUGCUCUCAUUGUGUCGUUUUCACCCGCAGAGAGCAGCUGGUUUCAUCACAGAAACUGACAAAAAAGAACAAUUUUAGAUUGCAAAACUUUACAAGAUGGACUACAAAAGUUAGCAAUAAGCUGGUUAACAUGAUAGAGCAUUUAGCAGUCAAAGAAACAAAUACUCCCUCCAAAUAGAGUUAAAAUAGAGACUACAUUUUUCUAAAAUCUUCCGAAUAAACAAGAAUAAAUUGUUUUUACAGGUUGUAAAAGAGUUACUAGUGAUUGAAAUACGUAUUUGAACUUGAGGGUAAAUGUUAAGUUACUGAAGCAAUAUAAGCUUAAAGGAUUAAUUAUGAGACCGGCGGAGGCCUAUUUGCAAAGCAGCCAUCAUCUCAUUCAUGUUCUUUCAGGGGAGGAAGACACAAUAACAUCCAGCAUGGCCUCAUGUGGUCGUAAGAGCAAGAGUCUCGGUAACAAUGGUGCACCAACCCCUGUGCUCCCUUCAACCAGUAAUACCCUGCUACUGGGAACAUCUGCUACAAAGCUGAUUAGCUCUGGUCGACCAGCAGCUGCUGGUUUUUCAUCAAAACGGGAUGAAACCAGAAUCUUCCAUCUUUCAGUCGGAUGUUUUGUACAUCUUCAUCU
Molecule: non-coding RNA, 1500 nt
Organism: Gasterosteus aculeatus aculeatus (three-spined stickleback)
Lineage: Eukaryota; Metazoa; Chordata; Actinopteri; Perciformes; Gasterosteidae
Source: RefSeq, a predicted model, not a curated record